RNAcentral lists this ribosomal RNA (433 nucleotides) under uncultured bacterium. Its description in RNAcentral is "partial 16S ribosomal RNA". It matches the Rfam family "Bacterial small subunit ribosomal RNA", at positions 29 to 507 of the family's 1533-position model. The record is from RNAcentral.
AGCGAACGCUGGCGGCAGGCCUAACACAUGCAAGUCGAACGAACUCUUCGGAGUUCGUGGCGGACGGGUGAGUAACACGUGGGAACGUGCCUUUUGGUUCGGAAUAACUCAGGGAAACUUGUGCUAAUACCGAAUGUGCCCUUCGGGGGAAAGAUUUAUCGCCAUUAGAGCGGCCCGCGUCUGAUUAGCUAGUUGGUGAGGUAACGGCUCACCAAGGCGACGAUCAGUAGCUGGUCUGAGAGGAUGACCCGCCACACUGGGACUGAGACACGGCCCAGACUCCUACGGGAGGCAGCAGUGGGGAAUCUUGCGCAAUGGGCGAAAGCCUGACGCAGCCAUGCCGCGUGAAUGAUGAAGGUCUUAGGAUUGUAAAAUUCUUUCACCGGGGACGAUAAUGACGGUACCCGGAGAAGAAGCCCCGGCUAACUUCGUG